RNAcentral lists this transfer RNA (73 nucleotides) under Apaloderma vittatum (bar-tailed trogon). It matches the Rfam family "tRNA". From Rfam's summary of the family: Transfer RNA (tRNA) molecules are approximately 80 nucleotides in length. Their secondary structure includes four short double-helical elements and three loops (D, anti-codon, and T loops). The record is from Rfam by way of RNAcentral. Lineage: Eukaryota; Metazoa; Chordata; Aves; Trogoniformes; Trogonidae.
GGCUGGUUAGCUCAGUCGAUUGAGCAUGGUGCUGAUAACACCAAGGUCGCGGGUUCAGUUCCCAUUUGAUCCC